RNAcentral lists this ribosomal RNA (277 nucleotides) under uncultured prokaryote. RNAcentral describes it as "partial 16S ribosomal RNA". It matches the Rfam family "Bacterial small subunit ribosomal RNA", at positions 524 to 800 of the family's 1533-position model. The record is from RNAcentral.
CACGUAGGGGGCUAGCGUUAUCCGGAAUUACUGGGCGUAAAGGGUGCGUAGGCGGUCUUUCAAGCCAGAAGUGAAAGGCUACGGCUCAACCGUAGUAAGCUUUUGGAACUGUAAGACUUGAGUGCAGGAGAGGAGAGUGGAAUUCCUAGUGUAGCGGUGAAAUGCGUAGGUACUAGGAGGAACACCAGUAGCGAAGGCGGCUCUCUGGACUGUAACUGACGCUGAGGCACGAAAGCGUGGGGAGCAAACAGGAUUAGAUACCCGGGGUAGUCCCUGA